AGUAAAGAUAGUAAGGGCAUACGGUGGAUGCCUUGGCUAUACUGGCCGAAGAAGGACGCGGUAAGCUGCGAAAAGCUACGGAGAGGUGCAAGCGACCAUUGACCCGUAGAUAUCCGAAUGGGGGAACCCGGCAGAGUGAAGCUCUGUCACCCAUACCAGAGAGUAUGAGGAGGGCACCUGGGGAACUGAAACAUCUAAGUACCCAGAGGAAAAGUAAUCAAACGAGAUUCUCUUAGUAGCGGCGAGCGAACGGGGAAGAGCCCAAACCGGACUGGUUCGCCAGACCGGGGUUGAGGACUGCUAACAAGCAUAAAUGGGAUAGACGAACCGACUUGGAACGGUCGGCCGAAGAAGGUGAAAGCCCUGUAGUCGAAAUCCUGCAUAUGUGGAGCAGUAUCCAGAGUACCACGAGACACGUGAAACCUUGUGGGAAGCAGGGGGGACCACCUCCAAGGCAAAAUACCAGUAUGGACCGAUAGCGCAUAGUACCGUGAGGGAAAGGUGAAAAGCACCCCGGGAGGGGAGUGAAAGAGAACCUGAAACCGUAUGUCUACAAACAGUCGAAGACCGUAUAAUUGCAGGUCGACGGCGUGCCUAUUGAAGAAUGAACCGGCGAGUUACUGUCACUAGCGAGGUUAAGCGGAAAACGUGGAGCCGAAGCGAAAGCGAGUCUGAAUAGGGCGAAGAGUUAGUGGUAGUAGACCCGAAACCGUAGUGAUCUAUCCAUGGCCAGGUUGAAGCACAGGUAAAAUUGUGUGGAGGACCGAACUCGUGAGCGUUGAAAAGCUUUGGGAUGAGUUGUGGAUAGGGGUGAAAUGCCAAUCGAACACGGAGAUAGCUGGUUCUCCCCGAAAUAGCUUUAGGGCUAGCCUCAUGGUAAAGAGUAUAGGCGGUAGAGCUCUGAUCGGGCUAGGGCCCACACCGGGUACCGAACCUAGUCAAACUACGAAUGGCUAUACUUAUACAUGGGAGUCAGACUAUGAGUGAUAAGGCCCAUAGUCAAGAGGGAAACAGCCCAGACCACCGACUAAGGCCCCCAAUGCUGCAUUAAGUGGCAAAGGAUGUGGAGUUUCCAAAACAACCAGGAUGUUGGCUUAGAAGCAGCCACCAUUUAAAGAGUGCGUAAUAGCUCACUGGUCGAGAGACUCUGACGCCGAAAAUGUCCGGGGCUAAAAUGCAGAGCCGAAGUCGUGGCAAUGGUAGUAAUACCAUUGGGUGGGGGAGCGUUCUUAUUGGAUUGAAGCAGUACCGGAAGGAGCUGUGGACUGGUAAGAAGUGAGAAUGCCGGUAUGAGUAGCGAAAGAAAGGUGAGAAUCCUUUCCACCGAAAGCCUAAGGGUUCCUGAGCAACGAUCGUCGUACUCAAGGGUAAGUCGGGACCUAAGCCGAGGCGGAAAAGCAUAGGCGAUGGACAACAGGUUGAAAUUCCUGUACUAGUAUGAAUUGUUUGAUCGAUGGAGUGACGCAAACAGGUAGGUUAGCAUGCGAUUGGAAGUGCAUGUUUAAGCGUGUAGGUUGAGUAAUAGGUAAAUCCGUUACUCUAAAAGCUGAGGCGUGAUGACGAGCUCAAAAGAGCGAAGUAAUUGAUCCUAAGUUGCCGAGAAAAGCUUCUAGGUAGAGACAUACUACCCGUACCAAAACCGACACAGGUAGGCGGGGAGAGAAUCCUAAGGUGCGCGGGAAAACCCUCGUUAAGGAACUCGGCAAAAUGCAUCCGUAACUUCGGGAAAAGGAUGACCCAUGUAGUGUGAAAGCUUGUAACGGCUCUAGCAUGAAUGGGUGGCACAAGAGAGGCGCAAGCGACUGUUUACCACAAACACAGGUGCCUGCUAAAGCGAAAGCUGACGUAUAGGUGCUGACACCUGCCCGGUGCUGGAAGGUUAAGAGGAGGGGUUAGGAGUAAUCCGGAGCUCUGAAUUGAAGCCCCAGUAAACGGCGGCCGUAACUAUAACGGUCCUAAGGUAGCGAAAUUCCUUGUCGGGUAAGUUCCGACCCGCACGAAAGGUGUAACGACUUGCGCACUGUCUCAACGAGGGACCCGGUGAAAUUGAAGUACCUGUGAAGAUGCAGGUUACCCGCGACUGGACAGAAAGACCCCAUGGAGCUUUACUGUAACUUAGGAUUGAUUUUAGUUAAUGAAUGUACAGGAUAGGUGGGAGACGUAGAAGCUAGGGCGCUAGUCUUAGUGGAGUCGCUGUUGGGAU
Veillonella sp. oral taxon 780 is the source of this 2203-nucleotide non-coding RNA. The record is from Rfam. Lineage: Bacteria; Bacillati; Bacillota; Negativicutes; Veillonellales; Veillonellaceae.